ACGGGUGAGGAAUACAUCGGAAUCUACUCUGUCGUGGGGGAUAACGUAGGGAAACUUACGCUAAUACCGCAUACGACCUACGGGUGAAAGCAGGGGAUCUUCGGACCUUGCGCGAUUGAAUGAGCCGAUGUCGGAUUAGCUAGUUGGCGGGGUAAAGGCCCACCAAGGCGACGAUCCGUAGCUGGUCUGAGAGGAUGAUCAGCCACACUGGAACUGAGACACGGUCCAGACUCCUACGGGAGGCAGCAGUGGGGAAUAUUGGACAAUGGGCGCAAGCCUGAUCCAGCCAUACCGCGUGGGUGAAGAAGGCCUUCGGGUUGUAAAGCCCUUUUGUUGGGAAAGAAAUCCAGCUGGCUAAUACCCGGUUGGGAUGACGGUACCCAAAGAAUAAGCACCGGCUAACUUCGUGCCAGCAGCCGCGGUAAUACGAAGGGUGCAAGCGUUACUCGGAAUUACUGGGCGUAAAGCGUGCGUAGGUGGUCGUUUAAGUCCGUUGUGAAAGCCCUGGGCUCAACCUGGGAACUGCAGUGGAUACUGGGCGACUAGAGUGUGGUAGAGGGUAGCGGAAUUCCUGGUGUA
Molecule: ribosomal RNA, 579 nt
Filed under: uncultured bacterium
Lineage: Bacteria
Also listed under: 1 other name
Description: bacterial SSU rRNA
Rfam family: Bacterial small subunit ribosomal RNA
Source: RNAcentral